GAAGCAGAGGUGCCCAUAGUUGCGGAAAGUGCCUCACCCGGCUUGCUCAAGUCCUCUCUUCUCCUCUUUCUCCCUCCGGAAACGUGAGUGGCAAAUCGAAGGUUCCGGUUGUUGAAACUGGUGGGAAUAUGGGGAACGCUUAGUAUGUACUAGGCAUUUCCCAGGGAGCUAGUUUUUUCUUGUUUGAUGCCCAGGCUUUGAGUCUCUGCAAGCCCCAAUUUAAGGACUAACCACUUCCCCUAGAGAUUAAGAAGUCCUCUUUCCCAAAUAUCCACUUUUCUUGCUGCAUCUUAAAACACAAUGGAGAGGGGACAGCUGGCGCUCCCAUUUUAUAGACAGAACCAUUGGAAAUGGAAAGGCAAAGCCGUUCCAGUCGCCCUCGGGAAACGGGGAUUUACUGCGGCACUACCCAGCUGUCCCAGGAACUACGGCACCUCGUUCCCGCCAGUUUCUGAAUAUCUAGAGACCCAGACGUUGAUUUUUCUAGCUUGGCCAGGCGAACACCUAGAGGACAGGCGGAGCGGUUAGGGGCCGGGAGGAAAAAGGAGGAGAGUCGAAUCCCAGCUCCCAAGUGCCCCAAGGUAUUCGACACCUUGGCUCCCCCAGGGAGCUCAGGCCUUUUAAGUUCUUUAUCCUAAGGUCCCUUUAAAUACUUUGUCCCUUACCUGAGUCCCGCCCAGGGCAGGUAAUAACAAGCUCCGCCCCUCUGCCAGAAACCGGGAUCGGGCCUGGUUACCCGGAGUGGGGCGCCCCUCCUCCCCCUCCCCUCUUCCCUGUCCCCCUUCACAGGUGGCUGUAGCUGGCCAAGGAGGUCCGGAUUAAAGAGGAAGGGGCAGUGCUCACAGGUCUGGGCAGGUGUCCACAAAAUAUGAGGGGCCACCCCUCUCUGCUGCUGCUAUACAUGGGAUUUACCACCUGCCUCGAUACUUCACCCAGUGCGGAGAAAGACCAAGUCCCCACCUCUUCCAGGAAUCCAGGACCCGGCCCUUUCCUCCUUCAGACCCAGGAGUCUGGAUUCCCAGCCCUUACUCCUUCCUCCAGGACCCCACUGCUCCCCAUCCCCCUAUGACUCCGGCCCUAGGGACCCUCCGUUUUUCUCUCUCUCACGUCUUUGGGCCCCGAAGUCUUCCUGGGUCCCCCAGAGGCCCAGAGCUUCCUGAGUCGCCGUACCCGGAUUCGAAGAGCCAAUCACUGGGACCUGGAGCUGUUCACGCCGGGGAACCUGGAACGGGAGUGUCUGGAAGAGAAGUGUUCCUGGGAAGAGGCCAGGGAGUAUUUUGAGGACGACACUCUCACGGAGCACUUUUGGGAGAGCUACAUCUACAAUGGGAAAGGAGGGCGUGGACGAGUCGAUGUGGCAGGCCUGGCUGUGGGGCUGACAUGUGGCAUCCUGGUCAUUGUCCUUGCCGGCCUGGGAGCCUUUUGGUAUCUGCAUUGGCGACGGCGCCGAAGCCACCAGCCCUGUCCCCAAGAGUCCGGGGUCAUCAGCCCUCUGAGUCCUUUGAGCCCUCUGGGCCCACCGACGCCCCUGCCUCCACCCCCACCCCCAGGCCUCCCCACCUAUGAGCAGGCGCUGGCAGCCUCUGGGGUACACGACGCACCUCCACCCCCCUACAGCAGCCUCAGGAGGCCUCACUGAAGAGCUGCUUUCAGACCGGCUCUCCGAACCGCGACCCUGAUUCACACCGGAUUCCGGAAGCCCCUAGGCCUCGUAGACGCCGAAGCUGGACUUGGAGGGGGGAAUAGUGAGAAUAGGGGUCGUCCGGCCCGAGGCCUGCCCUGGCACACGCGUUUCCGCCGCGUAUGGAUAUACAUAUGUUUUCGGCAACAUAUUCCUGUGUCCUGGUCCCUCACGGGCCCCCACACUCUCCUGACGGUGAGGGCACCGGUCACAUCCCGCCCCCGUGGUAGGCAGACGCACGGGGAAACUCGUACCCAGGAGCGAAGUCCCGGCUGUGCCGUCUUAGGUGUGAGCAGACGACCUGUCCAUCCCCUCCAGUGCCACACGGUACGCACAGGCACAGCCCUGCCUGUGCACACGCGUGUCUUCGUGCACUCCCCGUGUGGUACAGGGGCGCUUCCUAACCCAGGGAAAGAGUGGGGGGCACAUUCGCAAGUGUGCUCGGUGCGGGCAGGCUUGCACUACACCCAAGGAGCUGGAGUUGAGCUGUUCCCCUAAAUAAAAACCCUUCGGAAAGGAGACCAAAUAAAGCAGAAACGAUGCAAAAAAAAAAAAAAAAAUCUAAUGACAUGAAUCGCGAUCUCGGGCGCA
Molecule: non-coding RNA, 2272 nt
Organism: Saimiri boliviensis boliviensis (Bolivian squirrel monkey)
Lineage: Eukaryota; Metazoa; Chordata; Mammalia; Primates; Cebidae
Source: RefSeq, a predicted model, not a curated record